RNAcentral lists this ribosomal RNA (203 nucleotides) under Homo sapiens (human). Its description in RNAcentral is "rRNA-28S_rRNA-related". The record is from RNAcentral. Lineage: Eukaryota; Metazoa; Chordata; Mammalia; Primates; Hominidae.
UUUGGUGUAUGUGCUUGGCUGAGAAGCCAACAGGGUGAAGCUACCAUCUGUGGGACUACGACUGAAGGCUUCUUAAGUCAGAAUCCUGCCCAGGCGGAAAAACAAGGCAAUGCUGAGGGGCCUCGGAUAGCCUUGGCUACCGGUCCCCUGCCGGCGGGACACUGCCCUACCGCACACGGGGACACGGGUCUGGUGCGGAGAGC